Molecule: non-coding RNA, 45 nt
Organism: Schistosoma mansoni
Lineage: Eukaryota; Metazoa; Platyhelminthes; Trematoda; Strigeidida; Schistosomatidae
Source: Rfam
GGAAGCUGAGGAGUCCCAUAAUAGGAGGAAACGGCCGUCCAGUGC